UAAAUUAUAGCUUCAGAAAAAUCAACCC
This 28-nucleotide non-coding RNA is filed under the name Mus musculus (house mouse). The record is from RNAcentral. Lineage: Eukaryota; Metazoa; Chordata; Mammalia; Rodentia; Muridae.